GGACUACCGGGGUUUCUAAUCCUGUUUGCUCCCCACGCUGUCGCGCCUCAGUGUCAGCUACUGCCCAGCAGACCGCCUUCGCCACCGGUGUUCUUCCGGAUCUCUACGCAUUCCACCGCUACACCCGGAAUUCCAUCUGCCUCUACAGUGCUCAAGCCCGGGAGUAUCGACGGCCGAUUCGGGGUUGAGCCCCGAACUUUCACCGUUGACUGCCCGCGCCACCUACGCGCCCUUUACGCCCAGUGAUUCCGGACAACGCUCGCACCCUCCGUAUUACCGCGGCUGCUGGCAC
RNAcentral lists this ribosomal RNA (292 nucleotides) under uncultured bacterium. RNAcentral's name for it is "partial 16S ribosomal RNA". The record is from RNAcentral.